This 2916-nucleotide ribosomal RNA is filed under the name Pseudomonas sp. SWI6. RNAcentral describes it as "bacterial LSU rRNA". It matches the Rfam family "Bacterial large subunit ribosomal RNA". Lineage: Bacteria; Pseudomonadati; Pseudomonadota; Gammaproteobacteria; Pseudomonadales; Pseudomonadaceae. The record is from RNAcentral.
GUUAUAUGGUCAAGUGAAGAAGCGCAUACGGUGGAUGCCUUGGCAGUCAGAGGCGAUGAAAGACGUGGUAGCCUGCGAUAAGCUUUGGGGAGUCGGCAAACAGACUGUGAUCCAGAGAUCUCUGAAUGGGGGAACCCAGCCAGCACAAGCUGGUUAUCUUGUACUGAAUACAUAGGUGCAAGAGGCGAACCAGGGGAACUGAAACAUCUAAGUACCCUGAGGAAAAGAAAUCAACCGAGAUUCCCUUAGUAGUGGCGAGCGAACGGGGACCAGCCCUUAAGUUGAUUUGAGAUUAGUGGAACGCUCUGGAAAGUGCGGCCAUAGUGGGUGAUAGCCCCGUACACGAAAAUCUCUUAUCAAUGAAAUCGAGUAGGACGGAGCACGAGAAACUUUGUCUGAACAUGGGGGGACCAUCCUCCAAGGCUAAAUACUACUGACUGACCGAUAGUGAACUAGUACCGUGAGGGAAAGGCGAAAAGAACCCCGGAGAGGGGAGUGAAAUAGAACCUGAAACCGUAUGCGUACAAGCAGUGGGAGCCUACUUUGUUAGGUGACUGCGUACCUUUUGUAUAAUGGGUCAGCGACUUAUAUUCAGUGGCAAGCUUAACCGAAUAGGGGAGGCGUAGCGAAAGCGAGUCUUAAUAGGGCGUUUAGUCGCUGGGUAUAGACCCGAAACCGGGCGAUCUAUCCAUGGGCAGGUUGAAGGUUAGGUAACACUGACUGGAGGACCGAACCGACUACCGUUGAAAAGUUAGCGGAUGACCUGUGGAUCGGAGUGAAAGGCUAAUCAAGCUCGGAGAUAGCUGGUUCUCCUCGAAAGCUAUUUAGGUAGCGCCUCAUGUAUCACUCCAGGGGGUAGAGCACUGUUUCGGCUAGGGGGUCAUCCCGACUUACCAAACCGAUGCAAACUCCGAAUACCUGGAAGUGCCGAGCAUGGGAGACACACGGCGGGUGCUAACGUCCGUCGUGAAAAGGGAAACAACCCAGACCGUCAGCUAAGGUCCCAAAGUCAUGGUUAAGUGGGAAACGAUGUGGGAAGGCUUAGACAGCUAGGAGGUUGGCUUAGAAGCAGCCAUCCUUUAAAGAAAGCGUAAUAGCUCACUAGUCGAGUCGGCCUGCGCGGAAGAUGUAACGGGGCUCAAACCAUGCACCGAAGCUACGGGUGUCAUCUUUGAUGACGCGGUAGAGGAGCGUUCUGUAAGCCUGUGAAGGUGAGUUGAGAAGCUUGCUGGAGGUAUCAGAAGUGCGAAUGCUGACAUGAGUAACGACAAUGGGAGUGAAAAACUCCCACGCCGAAAGACCAAGGUUUCCUGCGCAACGUUAAUCGACGCAGGGUUAGUCGGUCCCUAAGGCGAGGCUGAAAAGCGUAGUCGAUGGAAAACAGGUUAAUAUUCCUGUACUUCCAGUUAUUGCGAUGGAGGGACGGAGAAGGCUAGGCCAGCUUGGCGUUGGUUGUCCAAGUUUAAGGUGGUAGGCUGAGAUCUUAGGCAAAUCCGGGAUCUCAAGGCCGAGAGCUGAUGACGAGUUGCCUUUAGGCGACGAAGUGGUUGAUGCCAUGCUUCCAAGAAAAGCUCCUAAGCUUCAGAUAACUGGGAACCGUACCCCAAACCGACACAGGUGGUCGGGUAGAGAAUACCAAGGCGCUUGAGAGAACUCGGGUGAAGGAACUAGGCAAAAUGGCACCGUAACUUCGGGAGAAGGUGCGCCGACGAGGGUGAAGGACUUGCUCCAUAAGCCCAUGUCGGUCGAAGAUACCAGGCCGCUGCGACUGUUUAUUAAAAACACAGCACUCUGCAAACACGAAAGUGGACGUAUAGGGUGUGACGCCUGCCCGGUGCCGGAAGGUUAAUUGAUGGGGUUAGCGCAAGCGAAGCUCUUGAUCGAAGCCCCGGUAAACGGCGGCCGUAACUAUAACGGUCCUAAGGUAGCGAAAUUCCUUGUCGGGUAAGUUCCGACCUGCACGAAUGGCGUAACGAUGGCGGCGCUGUCUCCACCCGAGACUCAGUGAAAUUGAAAUCGCUGUGAAGAUGCAGUGUAUCCGCGGCUAGACGGAAAGACCCCGUGAACCUUUACUAUAGCUUUGCACUGGACUUUGAAUUUGCUUGUGUAGGAUAGGUGGGAGGCUUUGAAGUGGGGACGCCAGUUCUCAUGGAGCCAUUCUUGAAAUACCACCCUGGCAACUUUGAGGUUCUAACUCAGGUCCGUUAUCCGGAUCGAGGACAGUGUAUGGUGGGUAGUUUGACUGGGGCGGUCUCCUCCCAAAGAGUAACGGAGGAGUACGAAGGUGCGCUCAGACCGGUCGGAAAUCGGUCGCAGAGUAUAAAGGCAAAAGCGCGCUUGACUGCGAGACAAACACGUCGAGCAGGUACGAAAGUAGGUCUUAGUGAUCCGGUGGUUCUGUAUGGAAGGGCCAUCGCUCAACGGAUAAAAGGUACUCCGGGGAUAACAGGCUGAUACCGCCCAAGAGUUCAUAUCGACGGCGGUGUUUGGCACCUCGAUGUCGGCUCAUCACAUCCUGGGGCUGAAGCCGGUCCCAAGGGUAUGGCUGUUCGCCAUUUAAAGUGGUACGCGAGCUGGGUUUAGAACGUCGUGAGACAGUUCGGUCCCUAUCUGCCGUGGACGUUUGAGAUUUGAGAGGGGCUGCUCCUAGUACGAGAGGACCGGAGUGGACGAACCUCUGGUGUUCCGGUUGUCACGCCAGUGGCAUUGCCGGGUAGCUAUGUUCGGAAGAGAUAACCGCUGAAAGCAUCUAAGCGGGAAACUUGCCUCAAGAUGAGAUCUCACUGGAACCUUGAGUUCCCUAAAGGGCCGUCGAAGACUACGACGUUGAUAGGUUGGGUGUGUAAGCGCUGUGAGGCGUUGAGCUAACCAAUACUAAUUGCCCGUGAGGCUUGACCAUAUAACACCCAAGCAAUU